GUUGCUCUUCAAUCUGGACAUGUUGCGCAUUCUGUUUCUUCCCUGAGGUUCUCAGGGGCUAGGCUGAGGCUAUCUCUGUUCCUGUUGGCAGUGCGCUCAGCAAUGUGACUGCCCUGGUGCGAUGCCAUAAAUAUUCUGACGAGAUGGGUUUCUGGGUUUGUCUUGGGGAAUUCCAGUUCGCCUUAGGGUUUGGCCGGAUGCGGCCUAGUUAUCUCAAGAGGAUGGGUGCGCUUGCUGGAGGUCGGAAUAGGCCUAUGUUAAUCUAGCGCUGCACGAAGUGGUGGAACAGGCCGUGGCUGGUCAUGGUGGG
Molecule: non-coding RNA, 310 nt
Organism: Pelobates cultripes (western spadefoot toad)
Lineage: Eukaryota; Metazoa; Chordata; Amphibia; Anura; Pelobatidae
Source: the annotation of a GenBank genome assembly